ACAAGUUGCAUUGGAAUACCGAUAAAUUAACGUACUUACGUUUAGAAUAGUUAUUCAUUGAAGCAAUAUCGCGCGCUCAUUCGUGCAGAGAACACACGGUUUUGAGUUUAUUCCAUUUUCGAAUUUUGAAACUCGAAUUUGUAACGAUGCCUUGCGGAGGUUGCGGUGAUAAUUGCAAGUGCAGCACGAACCAGUGCGGCUCGUCGUGCAAAUGCGACUCGAGCUGCAGCUGCGCCUGCAAGCGUCCGGCAGCUGAGGCUACCACGCCUAAGAAGUAGAUCGACGAUUGGCCACGACGUUCCUUACCCACGUACCACUCCAGCGGUAUCUGGGUGGCCCAGACGGUAUUCCACCCGGCUGCUCCUACGGUCUUCUCACAGCUCGAUCGUCGCCCACCGUUUUAAUCAGAUGUAAAUAAAGGAUGACUCAUGCUAGACCGGACCGUGCCCGGGCCGAGGCGACCGAUGUGUCAUUGUCUAUGACGGCUAAUCGGUGAUCACGUGGUGUUUUUCCGUAGAAAACGAAGCGCCGGAAGCUCCUGCUCGGCCCCGGCCCGGUCUAGCGUGAGUCAACCUUAAAGAAUAGGCUUCGUCAAAGUCACACACAUGAGACAGUUAGGUACUUUUCCUUCCACUAUUACGCGGAGUGACAGCCGACGUCCACGAGACUUCACGAUACAUCUCCCUUGACUACUUUACGAGUUGUCGACUGAGGUGAAUUUAUUGCAAUGCCUUAAGGAUUGUACAGGCAAGUAUUCUGCUGUCAAUACACUGGCAAUGUGAUAACCCCUAAAAAAACAACCGUUUUCUUUAAAACGCCGUGGCCUUUAUGUUAUCUUUCAUUUUGUCAAUAAAAUAUUAUGUAUAUCUAUUUGAUGUCAUAUUUGUACUUA
Cydia splendana is the source of this 892-nucleotide long non-coding RNA. RefSeq lists it as uncharacterized. The transcript has 2 exons. The record is from RefSeq and is a predicted model, not a curated record. Lineage: Eukaryota; Metazoa; Arthropoda; Insecta; Lepidoptera; Tortricidae.